RNAcentral lists this long non-coding RNA (269 nucleotides) under Elaeis guineensis (African oil palm). Its description in RNAcentral is "long non-coding RNA (EGUI_LNC022559)". Lineage: Eukaryota; Viridiplantae; Streptophyta; Magnoliopsida; Arecales; Arecaceae. The record is from RNAcentral.
CAAGGUUGAUGCGAGGAUUCUUAUUUGGAGCUAAUCAUGGCUCGCACCAAAUGUAGCUGAAGCCUUAAGAGGGGUUGGUGGAAAUAAAAAAGAAUCUCUUUUUCCACUUGUGUACUAAAAUGGGCGGUCUUUUGAUAAACUGAAGGCCGCUCCAAGAGGCGAUCUUUUUCUUGAGGAUGCCUCUCAGCAUGAAUAAGGUACAAAAAAGAGAACAUCUCAGGCCAAUCCUAAGAAGAUCAUACAUUAUUAUAAAAGAACAAAUGAUGCGA